CUUGCACUCACUCCAUCCGAAAAUACUUGCCAUCAAAAUGGAUAAAAAGAGAUGUAUCUAGAACUAAAAUAUGCUUAGAUACAUCCCCUUUUAUCCAUUUUGAUGACAAGUAUUUCCGGACGGAGGGAGUAUCUU
This is a non-coding RNA of Triticum urartu, 135 nucleotides long. The record is from Rfam. Lineage: Eukaryota; Viridiplantae; Streptophyta; Magnoliopsida; Poales; Poaceae.